UAGACCUACUAAAAGAGGUGAAAAUAAAUCAGCAGAGCUCACAGACCAUGGCUCUCCCCCAGCUUGGGCACUGGCAGGGAACUGCAAACAUCCAAAGCAGCUGUGUGGAGCAAAGAGAAAUCAGAACUUCCUGGAAUAUCCCAAAGGCACAGACUGAAGCACCUCGAAGUGUCACUGUCCCACAGCAGAUCAUGGAGACAGAUUUUGUGCCUGCAACACUAAAUAAAAACGCCCAGAGUCUGCACGAUGGCUGAAGCCAGGAGCUGCAGCAUUGCUAUGGAAUAAAGGAGCUUCUGUGACCUUCAAGAACAAUUGCU
Long non-coding RNA from Vidua chalybeata, 317 nucleotides. RefSeq lists it as uncharacterized. The transcript has 3 exons. NCBI's taxonomy places the organism in Eukaryota, Metazoa, Chordata, Aves, Passeriformes, Viduidae. The record is from RefSeq and is a predicted model, not a curated record.